UCUUAGGUGACUGAGCUAUUUAAGUGUUAGAUUUUUAAUCUAAAGACGGCAACUGUCUGCCCCUAAGAG
Molecule: transfer RNA, 69 nt
Filed under: Coralliophila squamulosa
Lineage: Eukaryota; Metazoa; Mollusca; Gastropoda; Neogastropoda; Muricidae
Description: tRNA-Lys
Source: RNAcentral